This is a long non-coding RNA of Cucumis sativus (cucumber), 880 nucleotides long. RefSeq lists it as uncharacterized. NCBI's taxonomy places the organism in Eukaryota, Viridiplantae, Streptophyta, Magnoliopsida, Cucurbitales, Cucurbitaceae. The transcript is spliced from 4 exons. The record is from RefSeq and is a predicted model, not a curated record.
GAAAAUUUCCCUUUCUUCUUCCUCCCGCGCGCAAACCUCUCUCUCCAUCUUUUUCUUCUUCUCCUUCCUGUACCCUAGCCGCACGCCUCCCUUUCUUCUUCUCCGUUCACCCUAGCAGCCGGUCGUUUGCGAAGCAGUGGGCUACAAAAUCGUGGGUCAUGCGACUCUCCGUUUCCCUAGCUGAGCCACAAACCGUCUGUAUGCAGUCUCUCCGUCGCACGUCGUCUCUUCGUUGUAUUCCGUUUCUCUGUCGCACGUUGUCUGUUCACAAAGCUGCUGCUCGAUUUCUUCCGCGAGUAACACCUUUGACGUCCGCGCAGUCAGGUUUUCGUUCGCUACAGUGAAGCUGCCGUGAACCGAACUAAAGACCCCAGAUCCAACUUUCUGCGCGUCGAGUUUCUUCUUCGUCCUGCCGCAGGUAGCAAACCCACACCAUUCGAUUGGGUUGUUCACUAUCGUUCCUGCUUUGCCACGAGUCAUUAAAUUUUGGUCGGUUGAAGGUAACACUCGAAUUCCUUGGGUUCGCAGCAAACAAUUGAUUCUAGUUGGAACUCGUUUCGUGAAGAUUUGGGUUCGUUCUUCGUAGACUUCAACGUGGUUAAGGAGCUUAACUAACUUUAAGGCAAAGGUAAUAAAGGCGGCAAACCGGCGAGGGGUAGGAAGGAAGCGUGACCGCCACAGGGGACACUUUAAAAUUUUGCUUCCGCUUAGUGAUUUAUAGUAUUAUUUGUAUUCGAACGUGAGACUGUUUAGAAAAUUUUGAGGUUUUAAAGUAUUCACAUAUUUGAAACUUUGUAGUUUUAAAUUUUCAUGUGGAUUUUAGUAACUUAAAACUGGGCCCAAACAAACAAAAUAAAUUUUGUUCUUUUGAGGUUUGAAA